GAUGAACGCUGGCGGCGUGCCUAAUACAUGCGAGUCGAGCGAACGGACGAGAAGCUUGCUUCUCUGAUGUUAGCGGCGGACGGGUGAGUAACACGUGGAUAACCUACCUAUAAGACUGGGAUAACUUCGGGAAACCGUAGCUAAUACCGGAUAAUAUUUUGAACCGCAUGGUUCAAAAGUGAAAGACGGUCUUGCUGUCACUUAUAGAUGGAUCCGCGCUGCAUUAGCUAGUUGGUAAGGUAACGGCUUACCAAGGCAACGAUGCAUAGCCGACCUGUGAGGGUGAUAGGCCACACUGGAACUGAGACACGGUCCAGACGACUACGGGAGGCAGCAGAAGGGAAUCUGCCGCAAUAGGCGAAAGCCUGACGGAGCAGCGCCGCGUGAGUGAUGAAGGUCUUCGGAUCGUAAAACUCUGUUAUGAGGGAAGAACAUAUGUGUAAGUAACUGUGCACAUCUUGACGGUACCUAAUCAGAAAGCCACGGCUAACUACGUG
This 497-nucleotide ribosomal RNA is filed under the name uncultured bacterium. Its description in RNAcentral is "partial 16S ribosomal RNA". It matches the Rfam family "Bacterial small subunit ribosomal RNA", at positions 28 to 507 of the family's 1533-position model. The record is from RNAcentral.